RNAcentral lists this ribosomal RNA (450 nucleotides) under uncultured bacterium. RNAcentral's name for it is "partial 16S ribosomal RNA". It matches the Rfam family "Bacterial small subunit ribosomal RNA", at positions 354 to 796 of the family's 1533-position model. The record is from RNAcentral.
GUGAGGAAUAUUGCGCAAUGGGCGAAAGCCUGACGCAGCGACGCCGCGUGGAGGAUGAAGGUCUUCGGAUUGUAAACUUCUGUUAAGUGGGAAGAAAGGGCUGCUUUUAAUAGAAGCAGUUAAUGACGGUACCAUUAAAGAAAGCACCGGCUAAACUCGUGCCAGCAGCCGCGGUAAUACGAGUGGUGCAAGCGUUAUUCGGAAUAAUUGGGCGUACAGGGUGUGUAGGCGGUAUGUUAAGUCUGUUGUUAAAGACUCCGGCCUAACCGGAGACAGGCAGCGGAAACUGGCGUACUAGAGGGUGGAAGAGAGAAGUGGAAUUCUCGGUGUAGCGGUAAAAUGCGUAGAUAUCGAGAGGAACACCGAUGGCGAAGGCAGCCAUCUGGCCUAAUACUGACACUGAGGUGCGAAAGCAUGGGGAGCAAACAGGAUUAGAAACCCGGGUAGUCC